RNAcentral lists this ribosomal RNA (261 nucleotides) under Desulfonatronum thiosulfatophilum. RNAcentral describes it as "16S rRNA. Bacterial SSU". It matches the Rfam family "Bacterial small subunit ribosomal RNA", at positions 19 to 264 of the family's 1533-position model. Lineage: Bacteria; Pseudomonadati; Thermodesulfobacteriota; Desulfovibrionia; Desulfovibrionales; Desulfonatronaceae. The record is from RNAcentral.
CUGGCUCAGAAUGAACGCUGGCGGCGUGCCUAACACAUGCAAGUCGAGCGAGAAAGGGGGCUUCGGUCCCUGAGUAGAGCGGCGCACGGGUGAGUAACGCGUGGAUAAUCUACCCAUGGAUUCGGGAUAACAGUGGGAAACCGCUGCUAAUACCGGAUAAGCUUACGCAUUUUGGAGAUGUGUGAGAAAAGGCGGCCUCUGUUUCAAGCUGCCGUCAAUGGAUGAGUCCGCGUCCCAUUAGCUUGUUGGUGGGGUAAAGGC